GUGGGGAAUAUUGGACAAUGGGGGGAACCCUGAUCCAGCCAUGCCGCGUGUGUGAAGAAGGCCUUUUGGUUGUAAAGCACUUUAAGCGAGGAGGAGGCUACCGAGAUUAAUACUCUUGGAUAGUGGACGUUACUCGCAGAAUAAGCACCGGCUAACUCUGUGCCAGCAGCCGCGGUAAUACAGAGGGUGCAAGCGUUAAUCGGAUUUACUGGGCGUAAAGCGCGCGUAGGUGGCAAAUUAAGUCAAAUGUGAAAUCCCCGAGCUUAACUUGGGAAUUGCAUUCGGUACUGGUUGGCUAGAGUAUGGGAGAGGAUGGUAGAAUUCCAGGUGUAGCGGUGAAAUGCGUAGAGAUCUGGAGGAAUACCGAUGGCGAAGGCAGCCAUCUGGCCUAAUACUGACACUGAGGUGCGAAAGCAUGGGGAGCAAACAGGAUUAGAUACCCCUGUAGUCC
RNAcentral lists this ribosomal RNA (451 nucleotides) under uncultured bacterium. Its description in RNAcentral is "partial 16S ribosomal RNA". It matches the Rfam family "Bacterial small subunit ribosomal RNA", at positions 354 to 796 of the family's 1533-position model. The record is from RNAcentral.